UGGGGAAUAUUGGACAAUGGGGGCAACCCUGAUCCAGCCAUGCCGCGUGAGUGAUGAAGGCCCUAGGGUUGUAAAGCUCUUUCAGCGAGGAGGAUAAUGACGUUACUCGCAUGAAGAAGCCCCGGCUAACUUCGU
RNAcentral lists this ribosomal RNA (135 nucleotides) under uncultured Labrenzia sp. Its description in RNAcentral is "partial 16S ribosomal RNA". It matches the Rfam family "Bacterial small subunit ribosomal RNA", at positions 355 to 506 of the family's 1533-position model. Lineage: Bacteria; Pseudomonadati; Pseudomonadota; Alphaproteobacteria; Hyphomicrobiales; Stappiaceae. The record is from RNAcentral.